CCUACGGGAGGCAGCAGUGGGGAAUUUUGGACAAUGGGCGCAAGCCUGAUCCAGCAAUGCCGCGUGAGUGAAGAAGGCCUUCGGGUUGUAAAGCUCUUUUGUCAGGGAAGAAACGGUGGGGGCUAAUAUCUCCUGCUAAUGACGGUACCUGAAGAAUAAGCACCGGCUAACUACGUGCCAGCAGCCGCGGUAAUACGUAGGGUGCAAGCGUUAAUCGGAAUUACUGGGCGUAAAGCGUGCGCAGGCGGUUUUGUAAGUUUGUCGUGAAAUCCCCGGGCUCAACCUGGGAAUGGCGAUGAAGACUGCGAGGCUAGAAUCUGGCAGAGGGGGGUAGAAUUCCACGUGUAGCAGUGAAAUGCGUAGAGAUGUGGAGGAACACCGAUGGCGAAGGCAGCCCCCUGGGUCAAGAUUGACGCUCAUGCACGAAAGCGUGGGGAGCAAACAGGAUUAGAUACCCUGGUAGUCCACGCCCUAAACGAUGUCUACUAGUUGUCGGGUUUUAAUUAACUUGGUAACGCAGCUAACGCGUGAAGUAGACCGCCUGGGGAGGUACGGUCGCGAAGAGUUAAACGUUAAAGGUUAAAGUUAGUUACGGCGUGAGACGUUGCCGAACGGGACGACGACCGAGGGGAGGUUAGG
This 639-nucleotide ribosomal RNA is filed under the name uncultured bacterium. RNAcentral's name for it is "bacterial SSU rRNA". The stretch from base 1 to 542 matches the Rfam family "Bacterial small subunit ribosomal RNA", at positions 338 to 873 of the family's 1533-position model. The record is from RNAcentral.